This 497-nucleotide ribosomal RNA is filed under the name uncultured bacterium. RNAcentral describes it as "partial 16S ribosomal RNA". It matches the Rfam family "Bacterial small subunit ribosomal RNA", at positions 28 to 507 of the family's 1533-position model. The record is from RNAcentral.
GAUGAACGCUGGCGGCGUGCCUAAUACAUGCAAGUCGAGCGAACAGACGAGGAGCUUGCUCCUUUGACGUUAGCGGCGGACGGGUGAGUAACACGUGGGUAACCUACCUAUAAGACUGGGAUAACUUCGGGAAACCGGAGCUAAUACCGGAUAAUAUUUCGAACCGCAUGGUUCGAUAGUGAAAGAUGGCUUUGCUAUCACUUAUAGAUGGACCUGCGCCGUAUUAGCUAGUUGGUAAGGUAACGGCUUACCAAGGCAACGAUACGUAGCCGACCUGAGAGGGUGAUCGGCCACACUGGAACUGAGACACGGUCCAGACUCCUACGGGAGGCAGCAGUAGGGAAUCUUCCGCAAUGGGCGAAAGCCUGACGGAGCAACGCCGCGUGAGUGAUGAAGGUCUUCGGAUCGUAAAACUCUGUUAUUAGGGAAGAACAAACGUGUAAGUAACUGUGCACGUCUUGACGGUACCUAAUCAGAAAGCCACGACUAACUACGUG